GCCAGACUCCUACGGGAGGCAGCAGUGGGGGAUAUUGCACAAUGGGGGGAACCCUGAUGCAGCGACGCCGCGUGGGUGAGGAAGUACCCCGGUAUGUAAAGCCCUUUCGGCAGGGAAGAAAAUGACGGUACCUGGCGAAGAAGCCCCGGCUAACUACGUGCCAGCAGCCGCGGUAAUACGUAGGGGGCAAGCGUUAUCCGGAUUUACUGGGUGUAAAGGGAGCGUAGACGGCCAGACAAGUCUGAAGUGAAAAUCCAGCGCUUAACGUUGGAAGUGCUUUGGAAACUGCCGGGCUAGAGUGCAGGAGGGGCAGGCGGAAUUCCUAGUGUAGCGGUGAAAUGCGUAGAUAUUAGGAGGAACACCAGUGGCGAAGGCGGCCUGCUGGACUGCAACUGACGUUGAGGCUCGAAGGCGUGGGGAGCAAACAGGAUUAGAUACCCUAGUACU
This 447-nucleotide ribosomal RNA is filed under the name uncultured bacterium. RNAcentral's name for it is "bacterial SSU rRNA". It matches the Rfam family "Bacterial small subunit ribosomal RNA", at positions 330 to 794 of the family's 1533-position model. The record is from RNAcentral.